Molecule: ribosomal RNA, 307 nt
Filed under: uncultured bacterium
Lineage: Bacteria
Description: bacterial SSU rRNA
Rfam family: Bacterial small subunit ribosomal RNA
Source: RNAcentral
GACGAACGCUGGCGGCGUGCCUAACACAUGCAAGUCGAACGGAAGUAAGAGCUUCGGUUUUUACUUUAGUGGCGAACGGGUGAGUAACGCGUGAGGAACCUGCCUUUCAGUGGGGGACAACAGUUGGAAACGACUGCUAAUACCGCAUAAUGUUUCCGAUCCGCAUGGAUUGGAAACCAAGCUUUAUGUGCUGAAAGAUGGCCUCGCGUCUGAUUAGAUAGUUGGUGGGGUAACGGCCUACCAAGGCGAUGAUCAGUAGCCGGUCUGAGAGGAUGAACGGCCACAUUGGGACUGAGACACGGUCCAA